RNAcentral lists this small nuclear RNA (148 nucleotides) under Lottia gigantea (owl limpet). RNAcentral's name for it is "U12 minor spliceosomal RNA". It matches the Rfam family "U12 minor spliceosomal RNA". From Rfam's summary of the family: Although the U12 sequence is very divergent from that of U2, the two are functionally analogous. The record is from Rfam by way of RNAcentral. Lineage: Eukaryota; Metazoa; Mollusca; Gastropoda; Lottiidae.
AUGCCUUAAACUAAUGAGUAAGGAAAAUAAUGAGACUAGGGGAUCCUAGGCUCCUGGUAAACUACCAGAGGAAUUUCUGAAGGGGUACAGGUCGCCCCUCGGUGACCCUCCUACUUUGAGGGAUGCUUGAGGUGUAGUGAUCUACCCC